This 59-nucleotide transfer RNA is filed under the name Pyrinomonadaceae bacterium. Its description in RNAcentral is "tRNA-Arg". It matches the Rfam family "tRNA", at positions 9 to 63 of the family's 71-position model. Rfam says of the family: Transfer RNA (tRNA) molecules are approximately 80 nucleotides in length. Their secondary structure includes four short double-helical elements and three loops (D, anti-codon, and T loops). Further hydrogen bonds mediate the characteristic L-shaped molecular structure. tRNAs have two regions of fundamental functional importance: the anti-codon, which is responsible for specific mRNA codon recognition, and the 3' end, to which the tRNAs corresponding amino acid is attached (by aminoacyl-tRNA synthetases). tRNAs cope with the degeneracy of the genetic code in two manners: having more than one tRNA (with a specific anti-codon) for a particular amino acid; and 'wobble' base-pairing, i.e. permitting non-standard base-pairing at the 3rd anti-codon position. The record is from RNAcentral. Lineage: Bacteria; Pseudomonadati; Acidobacteriota; Blastocatellia; Blastocatellales; Pyrinomonadaceae.
AGCUCAGCUGGAUAGAGCGUCGGUCUACGAAACCGAAGGUCGCAAGUUCGAAUCUUGCC